GAAGUGCGAUAAGUAGUGUGAAUUGCAGAAUUUCGUGAAUCAUCGAAUCUUUGAACGCAAAUUGCACUUUCUGGUAUUCCAGAAAGUAUGCCUGUUUGAGGGUCAAUUAAAUAAAAUCAGGCGUUUUUACUGUCCGGAAUUGGGUCGUCAUAACUUCGGUUAAGUGACUUAAAAUUUUGUAUGAUUUUUACAAACGUAUUUAAAAUAUUUUUGUACGUUUUUGUAAUUAUUCAGUGUUUAUUAGAUGUGGUCAUUUUUAUGGUUCGCGUCUAUAAUUUCUCAUCUAUUGACCUCAAAUCAGGUAAGAAUACCUGCUGAACUUAA
This 324-nucleotide unclassified non-coding RNA is filed under the name uncultured Glomeraceae. RNAcentral describes it as "sequence contains ITS1". The stretch from base 1 to 105 matches the Rfam family "5.8S ribosomal RNA", at positions 50 to 154 of the family's 154-position model. Lineage: Eukaryota; Fungi; Glomeromycota; Glomeromycetes; Glomerales; Glomeraceae. The record is from RNAcentral.